UUCGGGGCGAGGAAGGACAGGUGGUGCAUGGUUGUCGUCAGCUCGUGUCGUGAGAUGUUGGGUUAAGUCCCGCAACGAGCGCAACCCUUAUUGUUAGUUGCUACCAUUUAGUUGAGCACUCUAGCGAGACUGCCCGGGUUAACCGGGAGGAAGGUGGGGAUGACGUCAAAUCAUCAUGCCCCUUAUGUCUAGGGCUACACACGUGCUACAAUGGCUGGUACAGAGAGAUGCAAUACCGUGAGGUGGAGCCAAACUUCAAAACCAGUCUCAGUUCGGAUUGUAGGCUGAAACUCGCCUACAUGAAGCUGGAGUUGCUAGUAAUCGCGAAUCAGAAUGUCGCGGUGAAUACGUUCCCGGGCCUUGUACACACCGCCCGUCACACCAUGAGAGUUGGCAAUACCCAAAGUUCGUGAGCUAACGCGUAAGCGAGGCAGCGACCUAAGGUAGGGUCAGCGAUUGGGGUGAAGUCGUAACAAGGUAGCCGUAGGAGAACCUGCGGCU
This 501-nucleotide ribosomal RNA is filed under the name uncultured Clostridium sp. RNAcentral's name for it is "bacterial SSU rRNA". It matches the Rfam family "Bacterial small subunit ribosomal RNA", at positions 1018 to 1519 of the family's 1533-position model. The record is from RNAcentral. Lineage: Bacteria; Bacillati; Bacillota; Clostridia; Eubacteriales; Clostridiaceae.